GGGCCCGUAGCUCAGCGGUAGAGCACACCGCUCAUAACGGUUUGGUCGCAGGUUCGAUCCCUGCCGGGCCCACCA
This 75-nucleotide transfer RNA is filed under the name Candidatus Sneabacter namystus. RNAcentral describes it as "tRNA-Ile". It matches the Rfam family "tRNA". From Rfam's summary of the family: Transfer RNA (tRNA) molecules are approximately 80 nucleotides in length. Lineage: Bacteria; Pseudomonadati; Pseudomonadota; Alphaproteobacteria; Rickettsiales; Rickettsiaceae. The record is from RNAcentral.